This is a long non-coding RNA of Bos taurus (domestic cattle), 402 nucleotides long. NCBI's taxonomy places the organism in Eukaryota, Metazoa, Chordata, Mammalia, Artiodactyla, Bovidae. The record is from Ensembl.
GGAACACCUGGGGGCUGCUGAAUAGGAGAAUCCCAUCUGCUCCUCAGGAAAGGCCAAAAAGUGCCACAAGCUGGAGGAGGCUGGCCUGAGAUCCUGCCCAUCUCCCCAUAGCCCCGAAGCAGGACACUGGCUAGUCCUGGCACUCCCACUCUACAGGCAGCCCACUGCCCGAUGGACUGGGACCUGGCAGGUUCCUCUGCCCAUGGAAUUUUCCAAGCAAGAAUAUUGGAGUGGGAUGCCAUUUCCUACUCCAGGGGAUCUUCCCAAACCAGGGAUCCAACUCACAUCUCUUGUAUCUCCUGCAUUGACAGGUAGAUUCUUUACCACUGGCACCACCUGGGUAGCCUGUAAGGCCCACCAGACUCCUCUGUCCAUGGAAUUUUCCAGACAAGAAUACUGGAA